RNAcentral lists this unclassified non-coding RNA (305 nucleotides) under plant metagenome. Its description in RNAcentral is "partial contains 5.8S ribosomal RNA, internal transcribed spacer 2, and large subunit ribosomal RNA". The stretch from base 1 to 105 matches the Rfam family "5.8S ribosomal RNA", at positions 50 to 154 of the family's 154-position model. The record is from RNAcentral.
GAAAUUCGAUAAGUAAUGUGAAUUGCAGAAUUCAGUGAAUCAUCGAAUCUUUGAACGCACAUUGCGCCCGCCAGUAUUCUGGCGGGCAUGCCUGUCCGAGCGUCAUUUCAACCAUCAAGCCCCGGGCUUGUGUUGGGGACCUGCGGCUGCCCGCAGGCCCUGAAAACCAGUGGCGGGCUCGCUGUCACACCGAGCGUAGUAGCAAUCACCUCGCUCAGGGCGUGCUGCGGGUUCCGGCCGUUAAACAGCCUUACAAAACCCAAGGUUGACCUCGGAUCAGGUAGGAAGACCCGCUGAACUUAAGC